CAAGGAGUCCAACAUGUGCGCGAGUCUAAGGGUUGUGUAAACCUGGAGGCGAAAUGAAAGUGAGCUCCCUUUUUGGGGGCAGGCCGAUCCCUUGUCAGCGACCGGGGUGCUUGGCAGGCAGUACUUGGUGGGCGGACUUUGUCUGCGUAGCAUGCCUGCUGGGUGCUUUUGGUGGUUGGCGGUCUUACUCCGAAAGGGGCAGAUAUUGGGGCGCAGGCCGAGGACUUGCCAUAGUGCGGCGCGGGCAACGGGUUGCUCUCGGGCUUCCUUAUCCCGAUGUCCGCCGGCAAGUACCUGAGAGCGCAGCCGUUGGGACCCGAAAGAUGGUGAACUAUGCCUGGCGAGGACGAAGCCAGAGGAAACUCUGGUGGAGGUCCGAAGCAGUUCUGACGUGCAAAUCGAUUGUCAGAGCUGGGUAUAGGGGCGAAAGACUAAUCGAACCAUCUAGUAGCUGGUUCCCUCCGAAGUUUCCCUCAGGAUAGCUGGCGUUGAUUGGAUGAGUUUCAUCCGGUAAAGCGAAUGAUUAGAGGCCUUGGUGGUGCAAUGCCGUCAACCUAUUCUCAAACUUUAAAUGGGUGAGACGUAGAGCUUGCUUGAAACGUGAAGCUUUAUGUUAUGAUUGAAUCAGAAUGCCUA
This 636-nucleotide ribosomal RNA is filed under the name Macrobrachium esculentum. Its description in RNAcentral is "eukaryotic LSU rRNA". It matches the Rfam family "Eukaryotic large subunit ribosomal RNA", at positions 667 to 1125 of the family's 3401-position model. The record is from RNAcentral. Lineage: Eukaryota; Metazoa; Arthropoda; Malacostraca; Decapoda; Palaemonidae.